This is a microRNA precursor of Medicago truncatula (barrel medic), 119 nucleotides long. It matches the Rfam family "MIR2679 microRNA precursor family". The record is from Rfam. Lineage: Eukaryota; Viridiplantae; Streptophyta; Magnoliopsida; Fabales; Fabaceae.
AUGGCGGUCCGAAACCCAUACUUUUCACUUUCGAAAGGGUGAGUGUACUAUCACUUUGGAAGACGUCUAUAUGUUACUCGGCUUACCUUUUGGAGGUUCAAUUGUUACGGCUCCUCCAA